Molecule: transfer RNA, 76 nt
Filed under: Escherichia coli
Lineage: Bacteria; Pseudomonadati; Pseudomonadota; Gammaproteobacteria; Enterobacterales; Enterobacteriaceae
Also listed under: 12 other names
Description: tRNA-Phe (P-site) from Escherichia coli (PDB 8R3V, chain W1)
Rfam family: tRNA
About the family: Transfer RNA (tRNA) molecules are approximately 80 nucleotides in length. Their secondary structure includes four short double-helical elements and three loops (D, anti-codon, and T loops). Further hydrogen bonds mediate the characteristic L-shaped molecular structure. tRNAs have two regions of fundamental functional importance: the anti-codon, which is responsible for specific mRNA codon recognition, and the 3' end, to which the tRNAs corresponding amino acid is attached (by aminoacyl-tRNA synthetases). tRNAs cope with the degeneracy of the genetic code in two manners: having more than one tRNA (with a specific anti-codon) for a particular amino acid; and 'wobble' base-pairing, i.e. permitting non-standard base-pairing at the 3rd anti-codon position.
Source: RNAcentral
GCCCGGAUAGCUCAGUUGGUAGAGCAGGGGAUUGAAAAUCCCCGUGUCCUUGGUUCGAUUCCGAGUCCGGGCACCA